AUACGGAGGGUGCAAGCGUUAUCCGGAUUCACUGGGUUUAAAGGGUGCGUAGGUGGGCAGGUAAGUCAGUGGUGAAAUCUCUGGGCUUAACUCAGAAACUGCCAUUGAUACUAUCUGUCUUGAAUACCGUGGAGGUCAGCGGAAUAUGUCAUGUAGCGGUGAAAUGCUUAGAUAUGACAUAGAACACCAAUUGCGAAGGCAGCUGGCUACACGAAUAUUGACACUGAUGCACGAAAGCGUGGGGAUCAAACAG
This 253-nucleotide ribosomal RNA is filed under the name uncultured prokaryote. RNAcentral describes it as "partial 16S ribosomal RNA". It matches the Rfam family "Bacterial small subunit ribosomal RNA", at positions 523 to 775 of the family's 1533-position model. The record is from RNAcentral.